UCAGGACGAACGCUGGCGGCGUGCUUAACACAUGCAAGUCGAGCGGAAAGGCCACUUCGGGGUACUCGAGCGGCGAACGGGUGAGUAACACGUGAGUAAUCUGCCUCUGGCUUCGGGAUAGCCACCGGAAACGGUGAUUAAUACCGGAUACGACACGCUCUUGCAUGAGAUGUGUGUGGAAAGUUUUUUCGGCCAGGGAUGUGCUCGCGGCCUAUCAGCUUGUUGGUGGGGUAAUGGCCUACCAAGGCUUCGACGGGUAGCCGGCCUGAGAGGGUGACCGGCCACACUGGGACUGAGACACGGCCCAGACUCCUACGGGAGGCAGCAGUGGGGAAUAUUGGACAAUGGGCGGAAGCCUGAUCCAGCAACGCCGCGUGAGGGAUGACGGCCUUCGGGUUGUAAACCUCUUUCAGCACAGACGAAGCGCAAGUGACGGUAUGUGCAGAAGAAGGACCGGCCAACUACGUGCCAGCAGCCGCGGUAAUACGUAGGGUCCGAGCGUUGUCCGGAAUUAUUGGGCGUAAAGGGCUCGUAGGCGGUUUGUCGCGUCGGGAGUGAAAACACCGGGCUUAACUCGGUGCUUGCUUUCGAUACGGGCAGACUAGAGGCAUUCAGGGGAGAACGGAAUUCCUGGUGUAGCGGUGAAAUGCGCAGAUAUCAGGAGGAACACCGGUGGCGAAGGCGGUUCUCUGGGAAUGUCCUGACGCUGAGGAGCGAAAGUGUGGGGAGCGAACAGGAUUAGAUACCCUGGUAGUCCACACCGUAAACGUUGGGCGCUAGGUGUGG
This 786-nucleotide ribosomal RNA is filed under the name actinobacterium GWS-BW-H99. Its description in RNAcentral is "bacterial SSU rRNA". It matches the Rfam family "Bacterial small subunit ribosomal RNA", at positions 24 to 825 of the family's 1533-position model. Lineage: Bacteria; Bacillati; Actinomycetota; Actinomycetes. The record is from RNAcentral.